CGGGACGGGUGAGUAAUGUCUAGGGAAACUGCCUGAUGGGGAGGGGGAAUCACUGGAAACGGUAGCUAAUACCGCAUAACGUCGCAAGACCAAAGAGGGGGACCUUCGGGCCUCUUGCCAUCGGAUGUGCCCAGAUGGGAUUAGCUAGUAGGUGGGGUAACGGCUCACCUAGGCGACGAUCCCUAGCUGGUCUGAGAGGAUGACCAGCCACACUGGAACUGAGACACGGUCCAG
Molecule: ribosomal RNA, 234 nt
Filed under: uncultured bacterium
Lineage: Bacteria
Description: partial 16S ribosomal RNA
Rfam family: Bacterial small subunit ribosomal RNA
Source: RNAcentral